RNAcentral lists this ribosomal RNA (465 nucleotides) under uncultured bacterium. RNAcentral describes it as "partial 16S ribosomal RNA". It matches the Rfam family "Bacterial small subunit ribosomal RNA", at positions 28 to 507 of the family's 1533-position model. The record is from RNAcentral.
GACGAACGCUGGCGGCGUGCUUAACACAUGCAAGUCGAACGGAAAGGCCCUGCUUGCAGGGUACUCGAGUGGCGAACGGGUGAGUAACACGUGGGUGAUCUGCCCUGCACUUCGGGAUAAGCCUGGGAAACUGGGUCUAAUACCGGAUAGGAGCCAUUUUUAGUGUGAUGGUUGGAAAGUUUUUUCGGUGUAGGAUGAGCUCGCGGCCUAUCAGCUUGUUGGUGGGGUAAUGGCCUACCAAGGCGGCGACGGGCAGCCGGCCUGAGAGGGUGGACGGCCACAUUGGGACUGAGAUACGGCCCAGACUCCUACGGGAGGCAGCAGUGGGGAAUAUUGCACAAUGGGCGCAAGCCUGAUGCAGCGACGCCGCGUGGGGGAGGACGGCCUUCGGGUUGUAAACUCCUUUCGCUAGGGACGAAGCUUUUUGUGACGGUACCUAGAGAAGAAGCACCGGCUAACUACGUG